UUGAACGCUGGCGGCAUGCCUUACACAUGCAAGUCGAACGGCAGCACGGGUGCUUGCACCUGGUGGCGAGUGGCGAACGGGUGAGUAAUACAUCGGAACAUGUCCUGUAGUGGGGGAUAGCCCGGCGAAAGCCGGAUUAAUACCGCAUACGAUCUACGGAUGAAAGCGGGGGACCUUCGGGCCUCGCGCUAUAGGGUUGGCCGAUGGCUGAUUAGCUAGUUGGUGGGGUAAAGGCCUACCAAGGCGACGAUCAGUAGCUGGUCUGAGAGGACGACCAGCCACAGUGGGAGUGAGACGCGGCCGAGACUCCUAGGGGGGGCAAGAGUGGGGAAUUUUGCAGAAUGGGCGAAAGCCUGAUCCCGCAAGGCCGCGUGGAGGAAGAGGCCCUUCGGGUUAGAAAACAUUUUUGUCGGGAAAGAAAUCCUGGGCCCAAAUCGGGGCGGGGGAGGAGGGUCCGGGAAAAAAAAGCCCGGGCUAACUAGGUG
Molecule: ribosomal RNA, 485 nt
Filed under: uncultured bacterium
Lineage: Bacteria
Description: partial 16S ribosomal RNA
Rfam family: Bacterial small subunit ribosomal RNA
Source: RNAcentral